This 498-nucleotide ribosomal RNA is filed under the name uncultured bacterium. Its description in RNAcentral is "partial 16S ribosomal RNA". It matches the Rfam family "Bacterial small subunit ribosomal RNA", at positions 30 to 523 of the family's 1533-position model. The record is from RNAcentral.
AUUGAACGCUGGCGGCAUGCCUUACACAUGCAAGUCGAACGGCAGCGCGGGGCAACCUGGUGGCGAGUGGCGAACGGGUGAGUAAUGCAUCGGAACGUACCUUUCAGUGGGGGAUAACGUAGCGAAAGUUACGCUAAUACCGCAUAUUCUGUGAGCAGGAAAGCAGGGGAUCGCAAGACCUUGCGCUGAUUGAGCGGCCGAUGUCAGAUUAGCUAGUUGGUGAGGUAAAGGCUCACCAAGGCGACGAUCUGUAGCGGGUCUGAGGGGAUGAUCCGCCACACUGGAACUGAGACACGGUCCAGACUCCUACGGGAGGCAGCAGUGGGGAAUUUUGGACAAUGGGGGCAACCCUGACCCAGCCAUGCCGCGUGAGUGAAGAAGGCCUUCGGGUUGUAAAGCUCUUUCGGCCGGGAAGAAAUCGCACGGGCUAAUACCCUGUGUGGAUGACGGUACCGGAAUAAGAAGCACCGGCUAACUACGUGCCAGCCGCCGCAGUAA